AGUGAUGUCUCCCUAUGGUGUACACAGGUGCUAGAGUGUCCUUUAACAUCAUGGACUAUGAUGCAGCACACUUUGUAAGAUCUUCCGAUCCUUCCAGAUGAUGCAAUUUCAGCUGGCAGGAUUGAUGACUGAUGCCAGCAGCAGAGGAAAUCUGUUGGCAUUCACACCUACAGAUGAUGACAACAGCACCUAGAAUGGUGACAGUGACGUGAGAUUGGAUAGCUGACUUCUGGCAGAAGCCAAAGUGAAAGUGAGAAGAGCAAUCUGCCUUUUAGAGGUCUGGUAUAAUACAACACCCGUCAGAUGGCAUUACCUCCUUUGUGCUUCUAAAGAGAAAGCCCCGGUCAAGCUGAUGUUAUUGUUCACACCGCAGCUGAGUUAACUCCUUCAGCUGCUGAGAAAAACAGACUUCUUGUUGCUAAUGGUAUCCCUCCCUUCUGCUUAGCACUUAUAAAACUGACUACCUGGGCAGUACGUGGGUGAGAUGUUUUG
Molecule: long non-coding RNA, 492 nt
Filed under: Pogona vitticeps (central bearded dragon)
Lineage: Eukaryota; Metazoa; Chordata; Lepidosauria; Squamata; Agamidae
Description: lncRNA (ENSPVIG00000015558.1)
Source: RNAcentral